GUCUAUGAUCAUGCCACCCUGAACAAGCCCAAUCCUAUCUGAAUCUCAGGAGCUAAGCAAGUCAGGCCUGGUUAGUACUUGGAUGGGAGAGCACAUGGAAGACCAGGUGCUGUAGGCG
This 118-nucleotide ribosomal RNA is filed under the name Pteropus alecto (black flying fox). The record is from RNAcentral. Lineage: Eukaryota; Metazoa; Chordata; Mammalia; Chiroptera; Pteropodidae.